RNAcentral lists this unclassified non-coding RNA (261 nucleotides) under Melitaea cinxia (Glanville fritillary). RNAcentral's name for it is "misc RNA ENSMCXG00005014601.1". Lineage: Eukaryota; Metazoa; Arthropoda; Insecta; Lepidoptera; Nymphalidae. The record is from RNAcentral.
GCAAACGAAAAAAAAAACCGACUUCAAUUACAUCGACAAGUAAUACAACGUAGAUCGACGAAAAAAUAGUCAAGCAACUACGCGUUAUCAAAGAUUACUCAAAAAGUAGUUAUCAGAUCUCAAAGUUAUUACAGAUUUUCGAGAGUUUCCCUCGAUUUCUCUGGGAUCCCAUCAUCAGAUCCUGGUUUCCUUAUCACGGUACCAAACUAGGGAUAUCCCCUUUCCAACAAAAAAAGAAUUAUCAAAAUCGGUAUAUCCAGU